Molecule: ribosomal RNA, 396 nt
Filed under: uncultured bacterium
Lineage: Bacteria
Description: partial 16S ribosomal RNA
Rfam family: Bacterial small subunit ribosomal RNA
Source: RNAcentral
AUACGUAGGUGGCAAGCGUUGUCCGGAUUUACUGGGUGUAAAGGGCGUGUAGGCGGAGAUGCGAGUCAGGAGUGAAAUCUAGGGGCUCAACCCCUAAACUGCUUUUGAAACUGUAUCCCUUGAGUAUCGGAGAGGCAGGCGGAAUUCCUAGUGUAGCGGUGAAAUGCGUAGAUAUUAGGAGGAACACCAGUGGCGAAGGCGGCCUGCUGGACGACAACUGACGCUGAGGCGCGAAAGCGUGGGGAGCAAACAGGAUUAGGUACCCUGGUAGUCCACGCUGUAAACGAUGAAUACUAGGUGUGGGGGGACUGACCCCCUCCGUGCCGCAGUUAACACAAUAAGUAUUCCACCUGGGGAGUACGAUCGCAAGAUUGAAACUCAAAUGAAUUGGCGGGG